AUUGGGCGUAAAGCGAGCGCAGGCGGUUAGAUAAGUCUGAAGUUAAAGGCUGUGGCUUAACCAUAGUACGCUUUGGAAACUGUUUAACUUGAGUGCAAGAGGGGAGAGUGGAAUUCCAUGUGUAGCGGUGAAAUGCGUAGAUAUAUGGAGGAACACCGGUGGCGAAAGCGGCUCUCUGGCUUGUAACUGACGCUGAGGCUCGAAAGCGUGGGGAGCAAACAGGAUUAGAUACCCUGGUAGUCCMCGCCGUAAACGAUGAGUGCUAGGUGUUAGACCCUUUCCGGGGUUUAGUGCCGUAGCUAACGCAUUAAGCACUCCGCCUGGGGAGUACGACCGCAAGGUUGAAACUCAAAGGAAUUGACGGGGGCCCGCACAAGCGGUGGAGCAUGUGGUUUAAUUCKAAGCAACGCGAAGAACCUUACCAGGUCUUGACAUCCCUCUGACCGCUCUAGAGAUAGAGCUUUCCUUCGGGACAGAGGUGACAGGUGGUGCAUGGUUGUCGUCAGCUCGUGUCGUGAG
This 519-nucleotide ribosomal RNA is filed under the name uncultured bacterium. RNAcentral's name for it is "bacterial SSU rRNA". It matches the Rfam family "Bacterial small subunit ribosomal RNA", at positions 553 to 1071 of the family's 1533-position model. The record is from RNAcentral.